RNAcentral lists this ribosomal RNA (253 nucleotides) under uncultured bacterium. RNAcentral's name for it is "partial 16S ribosomal RNA". It matches the Rfam family "Bacterial small subunit ribosomal RNA", at positions 524 to 776 of the family's 1533-position model. The record is from RNAcentral.
UACAGAGGUCCCAAGCGUUGUUCGGAUUCACUGGGCGUAAAGGGUGCGUAGGCGGUCGGGUAAGUCUGAUGUGAAAUCUCACAGCUUAACUGUGAAACUGCAUUGGAUACUAUCCGGCUCGAGGAAUGGAGGGGAGACUGGAAUACUUGGUGUAGCAGUGAAAUUCGUAGAGAUUAGGAAGAAUACCAGUGGCGAAGGCGACUUUCUGGACUGUAACUGACACUGAGGCUCGAAAGCGUGGGGAGCAAACAGG